GCCGCGAGGCAGAGCAAACCCCUAAAAGCCGUCCCAGUUCGGAUCGCAGGCUGCAACCCGCCUGCGUGAAGUCGGAAUCGCUAGUAAUCGCGGAUCAGCAUGCCGCGGUGAAUACGUUCCCGGGCCUUGUACACACCGCCCGUCACACCAUGAGAGUCGGGAACACCCGAAGUCCGUAGCCUAACUUUAACGAGAGGGCGCGGCCGAAGGUGGGUUCGAUAAUUGGGGUGAAGUCGUAACAAGGUACC
This 248-nucleotide ribosomal RNA is filed under the name uncultured bacterium. RNAcentral describes it as "partial 16S ribosomal RNA". It matches the Rfam family "Bacterial small subunit ribosomal RNA", at positions 1254 to 1500 of the family's 1533-position model. The record is from RNAcentral.